Molecule: ribosomal RNA, 253 nt
Filed under: uncultured bacterium
Lineage: Bacteria
Description: partial 16S ribosomal RNA
Rfam family: Bacterial small subunit ribosomal RNA
Source: RNAcentral
UACGUAUGGUGCAAGCGUUUUCCGGAAUGACUGGGUGUAAAGGGAGCGUAGACGGUUGUACAAGUCUGAUGUGAAAGCCCACGGCUCAACUGUGGGAGUGCAUUGGAAACUGUAGAACUAGAGUAUCGGAGAGGCAAGUGGAAUUCCUAGUGUAGCGGUGAAAUGCGUAGAUAUUAGGAGGAACACCAGUGGCGAAGGCGGCUUGCUGGACGAAAACUGACGUUGAGGCUCGAAAGCGUGGGGAGCAAACAGG